GGCAGACGGGUGAGUAACGCGUGGGAACCUGCCCAGUAGUAGAGAAUAACUUGAGGAAACUUAAGCUAAUACUUUAUACACCCUCCGGGGAAAAGCUUUAUGCGCUAUUGGAUGGGCCCGCGUUAGAUUAGUUUGUUGGUGAGGUAAUGGCUCACCAAGACUGCGAUCUAUAGCUGGUCUGAGAGGAUGAUCAGCCACACUGGGACUGAGACACGGCCCAGACUCCUACGGGAGGCAGCAGUGGGGAAUAUUGGACAAUGGGGGCAACCCUGAUCCAGCGAUGCCGCGUGAGUGAUGAAGGCCUUCGGGUUGUAAAACUCUUUCGUCAGGGAAGAUAAUGACGGUACCUGAAGAAGAAGAUCCGGCUAACUCCGUGCCAGCAGCCGCGGUAAUACGGAGGGAUCUAGCGUUAUUCGGAAUUACUGGGCGUAAAGCGAGCGUAGGCGGAUUUGUAAGUUGGAGGUGAAAUCCCAGAGCUUAACUCUGGAACUGCCUUCAAAACUACAUUUCUUGAGUUUGGUAGAGGAGAGUGGAAUUCCUAGUGUAGAGGUGAAAUUCGUAGAUAUUAGGAGGAACACCAGUGGCGAAGGCGACUCUCUGGGCCAAUACUGACGCUGAGGUUCGAAAGCAUGGGUAGCGAACAGGAUUAGAUACCCUGGUAGUCCAUGCAGUAAACGAUGAGUGCUAGAUGUUGGGAAUUUAAAUUUCCAGUAUCG
RNAcentral lists this ribosomal RNA (716 nucleotides) under uncultured marine bacterium. RNAcentral describes it as "bacterial SSU rRNA". It matches the Rfam family "Bacterial small subunit ribosomal RNA", at positions 97 to 848 of the family's 1533-position model. The record is from RNAcentral.